This 68-nucleotide microRNA precursor is filed under the name Nematostella vectensis (starlet sea anemone). RNAcentral describes it as "microRNA nve-mir-9451 precursor". Lineage: Eukaryota; Metazoa; Cnidaria; Anthozoa; Actiniaria; Edwardsiidae. The record is from miRBase by way of RNAcentral.
AUUCUUGCCACGAGUCUCAAAUUGACAGGAAUCACCAUAUUUUCUGGAGAUCAGGGAGCGGGAAAACU